Molecule: ribosomal RNA, 253 nt
Filed under: uncultured bacterium
Lineage: Bacteria
Description: partial 16S ribosomal RNA
Rfam family: Bacterial small subunit ribosomal RNA
Source: RNAcentral
UACGUAGGUGGCGAGCGUUGUCCGGAUUUACUGGGCGUAAAGGGCGUGUAGGCGGGGUUGCAAGUCAGAUGUGAAAUUCCGGGGCUUAACCUCGGCGCUGCAUCUGAAACUGUGAUUCUUGAGUGCUGGAGAGGAUAGUGGAAUUCCUAGUGUAGCGGUGAAAUGCGUAGAUAUUAGGAGGAACACCAGUGGCGAAGGCGGCUAUCUGGACAGUAACUGACGCUGAGGCGCGAAAGCGUGGGGAGCAAACAGG